Non-coding RNA from Escherichia coli O157, 209 nucleotides. The record is from Rfam. Lineage: Bacteria; Pseudomonadati; Pseudomonadota; Gammaproteobacteria; Enterobacterales; Enterobacteriaceae.
CUGUCAAACUGAGCAUUUGUUAAAAAAAUUUCGCAUGGUGAAUCCCCCUGUGUGGAGGGGCGACUGGUGAAAAAUCCUUGCUUGUGAUUCAUUAUCGACACGGGUUCGGUGGUACCAGGCCGAACUCACCGGGAGGCACCCGGCACCAUGCAGUAUACAGAGAUUAGGCAUAUACCAAGGCCUCUCAUAGCAGGGGCCUUUUUACAUGU